Molecule: transfer RNA, 74 nt
Filed under: Candidatus Zixiibacteriota bacterium
Lineage: Bacteria; Pseudomonadati; Candidatus Zixiibacteriota
Description: candidate division Zixibacteria bacterium tRNA-Ile
Rfam family: tRNA
About the family: Transfer RNA (tRNA) molecules are approximately 80 nucleotides in length.
Source: RNAcentral
GGGCCCGUAGCUCAGUUGGUUAGAGCGCGCGCCUGAUAAGCGCGAGGUCGGCAGUCCGAUUCUGCCCGGGCCCA